This 253-nucleotide ribosomal RNA is filed under the name uncultured bacterium. Its description in RNAcentral is "partial 16S ribosomal RNA". It matches the Rfam family "Bacterial small subunit ribosomal RNA", at positions 524 to 776 of the family's 1533-position model. The record is from RNAcentral.
GACAUAGGUGGCGAACGUUAUCCGGAAUUAUUGGGCGUAAAGAGCUUGUAGGCGGUUUGUCGCGUCUGCUGUGAAAUUUCGGGGCUCAACCCCGAACUUGCAGUGGGUACGGGCAGACUAGAGUGUGGUAGGGGAGACUGGAAUUCCUGGUGUAGCGGUGAAAUGCGCAGAUAUCAGGAGGAACACCGAUGGCGAAGGCAGGUCUCUGGGCCAUAACUGACGCUGAGAAGCGAAAGCAUGGGGAGCGAACAGG